Molecule: ribosomal RNA, 468 nt
Filed under: uncultured bacterium
Lineage: Bacteria
Description: partial 16S ribosomal RNA
Rfam family: Bacterial small subunit ribosomal RNA
Source: RNAcentral
GACGAACGCUGGCGGCGUGCUUAACACAUGCAAGUCGAACGGAAAGGCCCUGCUUUUGUGGGGUGCUCGAGUGGCGAACGGGUGAGUAACACGUGAGUAACCUGCCCUUGACUUUGGGAUAACUUCAGGAAACUGGGGCUAAUACCGGAUAGGAGCUCCUGCUGCAUGGUGGUGGUUGGAAAGUUUCGGCGGUGGUGGAUGGUCUCGCGGCUUAUCCGCUGGUUGGUGGGGUAGUGGAUUUCCAAGGCUUUGACGGGUAGCCGGCAUGAGAGGGUGGCCGGCCACAUUGGGACUGAGAUACGGCGCAGACUCCUACGGGAGGCAGCAGUGGGGAAUAUUGCACAAUGGGCGGAAGCCUGAUGCAGCAACGCCGCGUGCGGGAUGACGGCCUUCGGGUUGUAAACCGCUUUCGCCUGUGACGAAGCGUGAGUGACGGUAAUGGGUAAAGAAGCACCGGCUAACUACGUG